UGGGGAAUAUUGGACAAUGGGCGAAAGCCUGAUCCAGCCAUGCCGCGUGUGUGAAGAAGGUCUUCGGAUUGUAAAGCACUUUAAGUUGGGAGGAAGGGCAGUAAGCGAAUACCUUGCUGUUUUGACGUUACCGACAGAAUAAGCACCGGCUAACUCUGUGCCAGCAGCCGCGGUAAUACAGAGGGUGCAAGCGUUAAUCGGAAUUACUGGGCGUAAAGCGCGCGUAGGUGGUUCGUUAAGUUGAAUGUGAAAGCCCCGGGCUCAACAUGGGAACUGCAUCCAAAACUGGCGAGCUAGAGUAGGGCAGAGGGUGGUGGAAUUUCCUGUGUAGCGGUGAAAUGCGUAGAUAUAGGAAGGAAAACAAGUGGCGAAGGCGACCACCUGGGCUCAUACUGACACUGAGGUGCGAAAGCGUGGGGAGCAAACAGG
RNAcentral lists this ribosomal RNA (429 nucleotides) under Pseudomonadota bacterium. Its description in RNAcentral is "Proteobacteria bacterium partial 16S ribosomal RNA". It matches the Rfam family "Bacterial small subunit ribosomal RNA", at positions 355 to 776 of the family's 1533-position model. The record is from RNAcentral. Lineage: Bacteria; Pseudomonadati; Pseudomonadota.